AACAAAGGGAGAAAGCUUCUCGCAUCCAUUUUCAAUUCUGAAUGGUGGUGUAAAGGUUCGUAAACGUAUAUAAAGUAAAAGUCAAAUGGCACAUGGACUAUUGACGAAAAAUGGCUUCCUGACGGAGUCCAGAAAUCACUGUUUACCAUUGUGAGGCAUUCUGUACAUAAAUAUUCCGGAGAAAUAUGCAUCCAGUAUCAAUGAUUGCCUUCAUCUCCAUACAUGAACAGGCAAAA
Molecule: long non-coding RNA, 236 nt
Organism: Haliotis rubra (blacklip abalone)
Lineage: Eukaryota; Metazoa; Mollusca; Gastropoda; Lepetellida; Haliotidae
Exons: 2
Source: RefSeq, a predicted model, not a curated record